AAUCAACGCUGGCGGCGUGCCUCAGACAUGCAAGUCGAACGAUUAAAGCUCUCUUCGGAGAGUGCAUAGAGUGGCGCACGGGUGAGCAACACGUAAGUAAUCUACCUUCGAGUGGGGAAUAACGUCCGGAACGGACGCUAAUACCGCAUAAUGCAGCGGCAUCGCAAGAUGACAGUUGUUAAAGAUUUAUCGCUUGAAGAGGAGCUUGCGGCAGAUUAGCUAGUUGGUAAGGUAAUGGCUUACCAAGGCUACGAUCUGUAACCGGUCUAAGAGGACGGUCGGUCACACUGACACUGAAUAACGGGUCAGACUCCUACGGGAGGCAGCAGUCGGGAAUUUUGGGCAAUGGGCGAAAGACCUGACGCAGCGACGCCGCGUGAAGGAU
RNAcentral lists this ribosomal RNA (385 nucleotides) under uncultured bacterium. RNAcentral's name for it is "bacterial SSU rRNA". It matches the Rfam family "Bacterial small subunit ribosomal RNA", at positions 32 to 409 of the family's 1533-position model. The record is from RNAcentral.